RNAcentral lists this ribosomal RNA (109 nucleotides) under uncultured bacterium. Its description in RNAcentral is "partial 16S ribosomal RNA". It matches the Rfam family "Bacterial small subunit ribosomal RNA", at positions 1365 to 1482 of the family's 1533-position model. The record is from RNAcentral.
AAUACGUUCCCGGACCUUGCACACACCGCCCGUCAAGCCAUGGAAGCUGGGUGUACCUAAAGUCGGUAACCGCAAGGAGCUGCCUAAGGGUAAACUAGUAACUGGGGCU